RNAcentral lists this ribosomal RNA (497 nucleotides) under uncultured bacterium. RNAcentral's name for it is "partial 16S ribosomal RNA". It matches the Rfam family "Bacterial small subunit ribosomal RNA", at positions 28 to 507 of the family's 1533-position model. The record is from RNAcentral.
GAUGAACGCUGGCGGCGUGCCUAAUACAUGCAAGUCGAGCGAACAGACGAGGAGCUUGCUCCUCUGACGUUAGCGGCGGACGGGUGAGUAACACGUGGAUAACCUACCUAUAGGACUGGGAUAACUUCGGGAAACCGGAGCUAAUACCGGAUAACAUGUUGAACCGCAUGGUUCAACAGUGAAAGACGGUCUUGCUGUCACUUAUAGAUGGAUCCGCGCCGCAUUAGCUAGUUGGUAAGGUAACGGCUUACCAAGGCAACGAUGCGUAGCCGACCUGAGAGGGUGAUCGGCCACACUGGAACUGAGACACGGUACAGACUCCUACGGGAGGCAGCAGUAGGGAAUCUUCCGCAAUGGGCGAAAUCCUGACGGAGCAACGCCGCGUGAGUGAAGAAGGUCUUCGGAUCGUAAAACUCUGUUAUUAGGGAAGAACAAAUGUGUAAGUAACUAUGCACGUCUUGACGGUACCUAAUCAGAAAGCCACGGCUAACUACGUG